RNAcentral lists this transfer RNA (87 nucleotides) under Lasius niger. It matches the Rfam family "tRNA". Rfam says of the family: Transfer RNA (tRNA) molecules are approximately 80 nucleotides in length. RNAcentral also lists the same sequence under 1 other name. The record is from Rfam by way of RNAcentral. Lineage: Eukaryota; Metazoa; Arthropoda; Insecta; Hymenoptera; Formicidae.
GGAGAGGUGGUCGAGCGGUUUAAGGCACCGGUCUUGAAAACCGGCGUAGGUGCAAGCCUACCGUGGGUUCGAAUCCCACCCUCUCCG